RNAcentral lists this ribosomal RNA (429 nucleotides) under Gemmatimonadota bacterium. RNAcentral describes it as "Gemmatimonadetes bacterium partial 16S ribosomal RNA". It matches the Rfam family "Bacterial small subunit ribosomal RNA", at positions 355 to 776 of the family's 1533-position model. The record is from RNAcentral. Lineage: Bacteria; Pseudomonadati; Gemmatimonadota.
UAGGGAAUCUUCGGCAAUGGACGAAAGUCUGACCGAGCAACGCCGCGUGAGUGAAGAAGGUUUUCGGAUCGUAAAACUCUGUUGUUAGAGAAGAACAAGGACGUUAGUAACUGAACGUCCCCUGACGGUAUCUAACCAGAAAGCCACGGCUAACUACGUGCCAGCAGCCGCGGUAAUACGUAGGUGGCAAGCGUUGUCCGGAUUUAUUGGGCGUAAAGCGAGCGCAGGCGGUUUCUUAAGUCUGAUGUGAAAGCCCCCGGCUCAACCGGGGAGGGUCAUUGGCAACUGGGAGACUUGAGUGCAGAAGAGGAGAGUGGAAUUCCAUGUGUAGCGGUGAAAUGCGUAGAUAUAUGGAGGAACACCAGUGGCGAAGGCGGCUCUCUGGUCUGCAACUGACGCUGAGGCUCGAAAGCGUGGGGAGCAAACAGG